CCUACGGGAGACAGCAGUGGGGAAUUUUGCGCAAUGCUCGUAAGAGUGACGCAGCGACGCCGCGUGAAUGACGAAGGCCUUCGGGUCGUAAAGUUCUUUCGACAGGGAAGAAAAUGCCUAUAAGUAACUGUGUAUGUAUUGACGGUAACUGUAUAAGAAGCCCCGGCUAACUCCGUGCCAGCAGCCGCGGUACUACGGAGGGGGCGAGCGUUGUUCGGAGUGACUGGGCGUAAAGUGCACGUAGGCGGUUUUGUAAGUAAUUAGUCAAAGACUAGAGCUCAACUUUAGUAAGGCUAGUGAUACUAUAAUACUAGAGUAUCAGAGAGGAAUGCAGAAUUUCUAGUGUAGCGGUGAAAUGCAUAGAUAUUACGCAGAACACCGAUUGCGAAGGC
This 392-nucleotide ribosomal RNA is filed under the name uncultured bacterium. RNAcentral describes it as "partial 16S ribosomal RNA". It matches the Rfam family "Bacterial small subunit ribosomal RNA", at positions 338 to 722 of the family's 1533-position model. The record is from RNAcentral.